RNAcentral lists this ribosomal RNA (253 nucleotides) under uncultured bacterium. RNAcentral's name for it is "partial 16S ribosomal RNA". It matches the Rfam family "Bacterial small subunit ribosomal RNA", at positions 524 to 776 of the family's 1533-position model. The record is from RNAcentral.
UACGUAGGGGGCAAGCGUUACUCGGAUUCAUUGGGCGUAAAGCGAAUGUAGGCGGUUUGGUAAGUCAGAUGUGAAAUCCCUCAGCUCAACUGAGGAAUUGCCUUUGAUACUGCCAGACUAGAGGACAGGAGAGGAAAGUGGAAUUCCCGGUGUAGCGGUGGAAUGCGUAGAUAUCGGGAGGAACACCAGAGGCGAAGGCGGCUUUCUGGACUGAUCCUGACGCUGAGAUUCGAAAGCUAGGGGAGCAAACAGG